RNAcentral lists this ribosomal RNA (429 nucleotides) under Chloroflexota bacterium. RNAcentral describes it as "Chloroflexi bacterium partial 16S ribosomal RNA". It matches the Rfam family "Bacterial small subunit ribosomal RNA", at positions 355 to 776 of the family's 1533-position model. Lineage: Bacteria; Bacillati; Chloroflexota. The record is from RNAcentral.
UGGGGAAUAUUGCACAAUGGGCGCAAGCCUGAUGCAGCCAUGCCGCGUGUAUGAAGAAGGCCUUCGGGUUGUAAAGUACUUUCAGCGGGGAGGAAGGGAGUAAAGUUAAUACCUUUGCUCAUUGACGUUACCCGCAGAAGAAGCACCGGCUAACUCCGUGCCAGCAGCCGCUGUAAUACGGAGGGUGCAAGCGUUAAUCGGAAUUACUGGGCGUAAAGCGCACGCAGGCGGUUUGUUAAGUCAGAUGUGAAAUCCCCGGGCUCAACCUGGGAACUGCAUCUGAUACUGGCAAGCUUGAGUCUCGUAGAGGGGGGUAGAAUUCCAGGUGUAGCGGUGAAAUGCGUAGAGAUCUGGAGGAAUACCGGUGGCGAAGGCGGCCCCCUGGACGAAGACUGACGCUCAGGUGCGAAAGCGUGGGGAGCAAACAGG